Long non-coding RNA from Gasterosteus aculeatus aculeatus (three-spined stickleback), 10839 nucleotides. Lineage: Eukaryota; Metazoa; Chordata; Actinopteri; Perciformes; Gasterosteidae. The record is from Ensembl.
CAGUCCAUCAUCACCCUCAGUCCAUUCAAGUAGGACAUAGCGGGACGCUGAUGUCUCCAUUUUUAAUACUUUUUACUUAGUCCCAGCCGUUAUCUUUCGGCGCGAAAGAUAAGAUGGCACCUGCAUGUGAAGGACGUCAUCCACAAGCGGCCCAGCGCGGGUGAUGAUGUAAUUCGCAUGCGACGCUGUAGCGGCCGAUCGGACCAGAGUGGACACAUGCUUGCCAGUAUGCUUUACGGUCUGUGGUAAAUAAGCAACAAAUAAAGAAAAAGAAUCCAGAUCCAGUACGUUACAAAAAGGUACCUCGUCAACGACGAAGCACCCGUUCCAGAAAGAACUAAGCAAAGACAUAAACAAAAGGACAUUUCUGAAGAUAUGGGUGAGGUUCUUCUACAAUUCAGUAAGUAGAACACAUGCACACGUCCAUUAGGCCUACAUAUUUCUUGAUCAAGGAUUUUAAUUUUAGGUAUCUCACCCAAGAGGACAACCCGGUGUCUACUGCUUCUGACGACACAGUAAGUUGCUAAAAAUGGCUAAAAUAUUCAAGUUAGGCGUUUUUUGUUUUGUUUGUGCAUGCACACUAGUUUACUGUAAAUAAUCAUAAGAUAAUUCCAUAACCCAAACUUCUACCGGAUGUUGCUUAAAGUAGAGCACAAAUUGGAAAUAACAUAUUACUUUAUCCGUUCCAUAUUGCAGCAAUACCCAUAUUUUUAUCAUGUUAGAAAACAACAAAAAAGAAGUUUUGAUUCGUGUGCAAAUGCAGCAUCUCUCUCAGCUGGCCACAUACAAAAUCACAGAACGUGUCUCAUUGUGUCUUGCCAGAUGAAGACAAAAGGGGGCACAGAAUAAAAAAAAAAGAAUAAUUUAUGAUCUAAUGACCAAAAAAAAUCAAUGGAAAGGACUGUUAAAAAUAUAAUCAAAUACAUUUGAGCCGGACUUCAAAUGCACACUGCAAAAAUGAACCAUCUAAAUGCAAGUAAAAAUUACUUAAUUUGAGAAGGUAAAGACUUAAAACAAGUUAAUUUAUCUGCCAGUGCAGUAAGAUUAUUACACUUAGUAAUACACAGUAAGAUUUCUUGAGAUAAGAAAAAUGUUCUAGGCAUCAGAAAGGUGAUACAUGUCUUGUAAUGAGUGGUAAAACACUAAUUUCAAGCACUGUAUUAAGUCAAAUAAACUCAAAAUAAGAUGUCCAUUCUUCUUUCAGUUUUUUUCCUUUCUUAAUUUUAGUGAAAGGUUCUUAAAAGCAGAACCACUAUACAAGACAAUUUCACUUAAUUCAAGACUGUUCAUUAUUAGCUUGUGCGGCUUAAAAUGAGACAAAGCAUGAAUACGAUCAUUGUCAACAACAAUUUAUUUAGAUUUUGUGCCCUUUAACACACUUGUUGCUUUUCAAAAUAUUACAUAUUCUCAAUUACGGAAGCAUUGCAACAGAAAACAUGUGAUACAACUUUGAGGUCAUUAUGGUUAUGUGUCAUCGUCACUGAAUCUGAUUACCUGACAUUCAGAUACAGAAAAAAGUAUUAAGUUUCAAAUUUUCUGUUCAUUCCACCUCCUGUAAUGUUUAUAAACCUAGUUAACCGUCAUUGGCCUCUAUUAACUUUUUAGAUCCAACAUUUGCAGCACAAAAUAUGCUUUGAUGAUUAAAGGAACAAAGAACAAGGCAAUCAGAGAAUACUUGAACAAAAAGGAAGAAAGAAUUUUCUCUUGACAAACUCCAAUGCACACUACUAUCGAUUUAGAGUACCGCGACAGUGAAACUGGUGGUGCCAGUUAUUCUAGUAUAGUAGUUUAACACAGUGAACACCUCUACAUCCCAAUAAAAUCCUUCCAUUCUGUCAUGGCUUUUUUGUAUGAGGUCGUCAUGUCUAAUAUUUCUGUCUGAAUGACUGAGAGGAGGGUUGCCACACACUUUGGAUAGGUGAGAUGCAGAGUGUAGUAGUAAGCCAUCAGAUAAAGCAAACCUUCACAAAGGUCUUCCUUGGCAAAUGUGGUGAUGGGAGUGGUUCCAAAUGUGACAAGACAGCGGGACCCAUCAAAGAGCAAAACAAGUGCAGAGUGUGGUCUCUUCUGAAGGUAGAUGGUGGGAUCUUCUGUUGGCUAAUAAAAAGAAGAAAGAAACAAAUCUGAGAAAUGUCUUUAAGGGUACAAAAAAAAAAACACAAGACACCACUGUGGUGGUAUAUGAAAACAAACUGUCCUGUGUUUUAAACACAGGACCAAAAGAAAUUAAAUGAUAAUUAAAUCAAAUAAUGGCACGGGAAAGACUAGCACUCCUAGUGGUGGCUCAAAAAGCCCUUUUUGUGGACACGCCCCUUGAUUGUUCAACAAUUUUUGGGAACAAACUCACCUGAAGGACAUGAAGCAAUGCCUCACUGGCUUUCCCAACUUCUUCGGUGGGGCAGUUGGUGAAGGAAAGAGGGCAGGAAGUGCCUUGAAUAGAGCUAUGGCAUAUUCCACUAGAACAAAAACAAAUGUUCUCAGAAUUCAGAGAAUUAUCUUUUAUCCUUAUCGCAACCAUGAAAAAAGCCACACAGUAUAUUAGAGACGCAGCAGAAUGCCCUACCUGCAUCCAGGUUCAUGGGCGGCUUCAUCACUUUCUUUGAAACACCGUAAAAUUGCACCUUGGCACAGAAGUCUUCCCAUCUCUUCUUUACUUCAUCUAUGUAUGUGAUGUUGUCCUUAUCCAGGAUUCGUUGCAGCUCACUCAUCACCUGUAAUGCAAUAAGUGUUAACUCCUGCAAUAAUGAUUGUUUUUUUUGAUGAGCUGAAAUAACAAAUAAAUUACGCUUACGUGAUGAAGAUCCUUAAAACAAGGGUAGGCGUCGAGGAUCUUUGUUGGCCUGUCCUCUUCUUUCAUGGCAUCACUGUCGAUGAAGGCUCUUCUUGCUUCAAACUCGAGGUCAAGGAUUUGGUGGACCGCAUCUUUGUUUGGUUUUGUUUUCUUGAACAUCUCCGGCAGAGUUUUAUAAGGUCUGGCCUGUAUGAUCAGACUGUCUUUUUCAGCUAAAAUGGAGAACAAAAAUCAGUAAUGGGUAUCAAACAUGUCAAUCUGAAUGAUAAUAUAGGUUCAGUGUAACAAUUAACAAAAUUAGCGAUGCUGAAUGACCUAUAUACUAAUGCAAUUUUGAAGGAAAAUAGUUAAGUAAUUAUUUAUUACAAUACAUUUCUCCAAUAAAGAAAAGGAACAAUGUGUGUGCUGUUAAUUAUAGUUCUUAGAAAUGAAAUCAACAUCAGCAGGUCAGACUUGCAUCAUAAGAAAUUGGAAAAUAUAGUGAUAAAACCACCUUACUGUAAAUCUCCACCAGACAAAAAGCAAUAUUGUGCAUGUUAUACAUCAACAUAUGCCCUUCCUGCUUUUUAGAGCCAAAUGGAUGCAAUCAAAUAAAAAAUCAUCAGUAACAGCUAAAUAUAUCAAAACAGAAUCAGAAUUAAACUAAAAUGAUCAGUGUCUGUAUUCUGAUAGACAAUUCUUAGUCUUCAUGCUACACAAUUCCAACUUACGUGACCUGUUGCCAUCAUCAGAACUGCUCCCAGAUGUUUGAUGCAAAAUAAUUGUUGAUGCACCACUUGGGUCUGCAUCAUUUUCUUCUCUGUCACUCGAUGAGAAGUCAAUGAGACUCCUUUUCUUUGAAUGGCCCCUCUCUGGAGUGGGCCCCUGCCUCUUUUGUGGGGACUUCACAUUCUGCAGCCUCUUGUGAAGAUUGUUGUAAAUGCUCAUCUGUGGUAAAAACAAAAGGUUUGGUUAUAAUUAGAUGCCUUCUUUUUAUGUUACAGAUAAACCACGGCAGACAAAAUAAAUAAACAAACAUAUUUACCACAAAUUUAAAUCACUUACAUGCUUCAUAGUUUUGUCUUUAUCUUUUUAUCUUUAUCUGUUUAAAUGGAAAUAUGACAAAAUGACAAUCAAACAUAUGUCAUUCAAAUCCGCCUUUUCAUCCCGGAAUUGCGUAAGUGUAUAUGUAAAUUACACGGUGUCAUAGAAUGACCCCCCCCCAACUUGUCUUUUGGUAUCGACCAACCAAAUGCGCAAGGCUGCUCGUGCCCGUCAAAGCCGACAUGAAUCAACAAUUUCCUCGUUUGCUGUCUGCAAUUGUGGAUUAAACAUCACGCUCUUUGUGCUACGUGUAGUUUGCAAGUAUAGUUAUUUUUUGCCCUUGCUGUCUUAGCAAUUCUUGAUUUUGUCGUUAAUGUUUCAGUUUCAUAAAAAACUACACUAACUGUCAGCUUUCAUUAGCUAGCUAGCUAGCUAGCAACUUUUAACAUAAUGGCUUGCUGGAGGUGUGUUAUUUGCUUCGUUUUUGUUGCCUUAACAUUAAAGUCUCUCUUGAGCCAUAUCAACACAGCACAUAGUCGAAACCCCGAUUUCCGUGUUAUAUGCGGAAUUGAUGGAUGUACCGAAGAAUACAGAGUAUACAACUCCUUCUACUACCAUAUCAGAUGCACACAUGCUCUGUAUCUUGCAACUGGGCACCCACCCACCAGAGGGAUGACAGCAGCUACAUCUGAGCCAUCUAGGGUUGGAAGAGAACAUUUUGAUCUACCAAUUUUUUCUGACUGUGCCACUGUAGGAUAUUAGAAACAAAUAUACGACCCGGUUCAUAAAAUUAAUAAAAAUGCAUAUAGUGUACACCAGAAUACAGCCAUGAUUCUGAAACUGUAAUCCAUAAAGUAAUGACAAUAUUGUAAAACUACUGUAAAUCUGCAGCUGUACUAGAAUAAUACCAAUGUAGUUAUGAUUGUAUUUGAUGUAAUGUAAUCAACUGGAAUGCAUGCAUGUAAUACUUGCACAACAACUGAUAUUGACCAAGGAUCAUUCGAAAUCCGAGUUACAUUGAACUCACCAGAAGACCACUCCCAGAGGUGUGGACACUGACUUUCACACCUUUAAGCAUUGCUAUAAAUACCUGUAGGAACCAUUGUUCUGGAGUUCGCUGGUGGAGGCUACAGACGGGCACUAGGGAUGGUCAAAGGACUGACCUGGGGCCUGUUGGUUGCUGAGACCAGCGGCUCCUCAGCUGAGAUGUUCUUUUUACCGCAACGCCAUCUCCUUUAUUAAAUACAUUUGAUUUUAACCUUUUGAUCAGCGAUGACCUCUGUCCGUCUGGCGUUUCUUCAUUUUUGAACACAACACCACUCAAACAAGAGGGAUGCAAAGGACCAGCAGUGAAGUCCGCACAAGUGUCACCCCAAAUGAAAUGCCUCAGCCUCAGCUUGAUGAUUCCCAGAUUCAACAUACUGAUCAUCAGGUAAGAUUCCACUUUUGACUAUCUUGCAUAAUAUUAUAAUAAAACCAUAUUCAUUACAUUUUGUUAAUAUUUUAGUCCCCUGUUGGCCCCCUUUUGAAAAGCAUCAGACUGUUAACACAAACAAGAAGUGACGGGUUUGUGUUAAGAAAAAUGAAAUACUGAUGUAUAGAAGGACAAACAGAAAUAUUUAAGACUUCCGCAAGUUUGAACUAUUUUAUAUAUCAACAUGUCUUUACAGGAAUGUGCUGGUACAUCACAUGAGGCUCUUACCAGACGUGCAGCAGCGUUUGUCAUUAAUGUCCGGGAACAAUGCCACCUGUCCCAGGUAUUACCCUACCGUGCCUCAGUGCUAAAUUGUAUGUUGACAGUCUUUGUGACACUCACACCAGAUUAAUUACAACUUUAAUAAUAUUACAUUUGAAAAGUAAAUUUAAAUGCAAAAAAAAAAAAAUCUAAAAUGAAGUAAAUCUACUCACAAACUGCACCCUUUCUACAUUUCCUGUCAAUUCUACAUCAAUGGGUCAGUUUAUAAUCAAUUCCAUUGUCAUAGCAAUAAUGGGCAAUUUUUGAGAAAGGAAUACACAAAGAGGAAUACUUCUUUCCAUUUCUUCUUCUGCUAGUGGACAGCAAAGGGUCAAUCAAAAGAAGUCGGGGGCGAUUAUUAAUAAUUGAUUAUUUAGUGCCAUGCACUGUUCAUAUUCAAUAGAGUUGAACGACGCUGAAACAAAUUGUUUUUUUUCUUAAGGUUUACAUUUAACUUCUUUUUGUUUAGUGUCGUCUUCACUAAAGUCAAAAUGCGUACAAACAGACACAGAAUUUUUCUUUGAAUAAUCGAUAUGGGCAAGAUUACGUCAGUUAGAGGAUCUGAAUUUCAGUUUCAAUAUAUUUUUGAUUAAUUGCCCAGUCCUUUUUUUAUUCCAAAAAUGUACGUAGUCAAACUUGAGAUCUGGGGCUAGAUUUGUAUGUAAUCUUGUGGAUUUGCGAGUAGGGUUAUGCUAGUUCUGGAUGAUGGACAAACGUGUGUCUCGUACUAUAAUUUCUUUUUCUUUCAGAGGAGCGUCAACAGUAUUAUCUUUGGAGUCCAGCAGUAUCAAGCUGCUCUUCUGAGUACCUUAAGGGACACAAAGAACAGUAUUGAGAAGAACGAAUAUGUUCAGUUUGUUUUAGACUUGAUUGAGAUAGUUCAGAUAAUAUUUGCACCUGUUUUAUCGGUGCAAAGUGUAUUGAGACUGAAACAAAUGAUUCAACAGCAUCUCAAACAGUUUAAACAACUGUUUCCUGGAGAAUAAUGUAAUUCCUAAGCAACAUUACAUGGUGCAUAUACCUGCUCAAAUCCUUUCUCUGGGCCCUUCAAUAAGGCAUAUGUACAUGAGAUUUGAGUCGAAGCCCUCUUUUUUCAAACAGUGAUAAUCUAAAUUGAACUUUAAAAAUGUCUGUCAGUCACUCGUCAACCAUAAUCAGCUUUUUGAAUGUUGUCAAAAUGAAAUGGGCACUGAGCACCCAGUUUUUGUUCAUGAGAGGGAAUUGGGUCCUGUCUCUGAAGUGACAAAUAUGGAUUACAUCACAGAAAAGACAAGAGAUUUAUUGGGGAUUGAUGGCAUAUAACAUGCGGUCAAUGUAAAGUGGCUGAUUCUCAAUGGUAACAAGUACAUCCGUGAACAGUCUUUGAUAAUUACUAAUGCAAAUGAGACAGUACCUGUUUUUGGACUCAUAAAAAACAUUCAUGUGAUAGACAGUUUAUUUUAUUGCUUUGAAUAUCACCUUUACGAGACUCUGGGUUGGAAUAGAGAUCUUUUGGCAUUUUAAGUUGCUGUACCUAAUCUUGCACAGGCCACAGAGUUCCAGGAUGCUGAAAAGCUACUUGAUUAUACAUCAUAUUAUGCAAUGACUUUUAAAAACUAUUUUUUUUAUUUUUUUUUAUAUAAAAUACAAUAUAACAAUAUUGCACUUAAAACUGGAAAUGAAUAACCAUACUGUAAGUUUUGGAAGGUGUGUGGUGACUUGAUACUGUUGAAAUGAUUUGUUACGGCCUGUAAAUAAAUGUGUUGUUGACACACCAAUAUUUGCAAUAAAUACAAUAAUGAAUUGUUAUUUUAGCAGUUCUUACUGGGCAGUCUUGAAACCAGUCUCUAACAGCUAUGCAUCCUCAUAAAAUGCUCCAAUGCGGUCUCUAACAGUAAUUCAGCUUGAUGUACAUAAAAAAUAACAAACUUUAAGAUAUACUAACUAAGUAAGAAUAGAAAGGAAAAAUAUUCGUAAAAUAAUCUAAAUUAUUUUACACAAUCUGCUCUUACCUGGUAUAUUAUUCUCAAAAUGAGAUCAAUACGACUUUUUGGCUGGAUAUAAGAUUAUAUGUCUUGGUUAGAGCAGGAGUUUUUGCAGUGGGUGGUUACCAACCACAUGAAAUGGUACAUUUGUACAGUCAAAUUUGAGAUUGCUUAUCCAAUAUUUUCAAUUCACAGAUGAACCAACCCAUACCUGGCCCUAGCUCUUCACCUGGGGAGCCAGUAGAGGAACAUCUAGAAGACCUCACAAGUCCAACUUUAGACCAGAAACCAACAAAGGAACAGGUGGAACUCCUGCUGCUGGCAUUAAAACUCAAACACGGAUUAACAAAUGGAGCCUCGAAGGACAUCAUGCAUCUUAUCAACUUUAAAGCUGGUCCUGGUGGGGAAUUGGUUAGUGGCUCAAAGUACCUUUUCUACAAAGAUUUGAUUCAGUGAAAGACAUAUUAGAAGUGCAUUAUGUGUGCAAGAGUUGCAACGUAAACAUGCAGGAAGGUCCCUUUAAUGUCAAGUGCCCAGUGUGUGACCAGGACACAUCAAAAGCGCAUGCACAAAAAGACCAGUGUUUUUUGUACUUGCCACUAAAAUACCAUAUUAAAAAACUGCUUGAUGACCACCAAUUAGGGGAACACCUGAAACACCGUUUUGAGAAGGAUGCCUACAUCAAAGAUAUACACGAUGGACAUUUAUACAAAAAACUAUCACGCCUUGCAUCACCAGACAACAUAUCACUGACUUUCAACUGUGAUGGAGUGCCAGUGCACAAAUCAAACACAAAAAGUCUGUGGCCAAUUUUGUGUACUGUUAAUGAACUGCCAAUACAACUACAUGCAAGACAUAUUAUGCUUUGUGGUUUGGUCAAAACAAACCAAAUAUGAACACUUGAAACCAUUUGUCGAUGAAUGGAGUUGUCCUCUAAUGGUCUUACGUGGCAAAGUGAAAUUGGGGAAGUUGUCACAAGUAAAGUACUCCUCACUACCAUGGUGGCAGAUUCAGUGGCCCGGCCAAUGAUUCAGAACUUUAAUGGAGAGUUUGGGUGUUCUUUUUGUAUGCAGAAAGGAACAAGUGUGUUAAAACGCAGGGGGCAUGUAAGGGCUUAUCCCUAUGAAAAAGCAGAGUUGAGGAAUCCCGCCCAGACUGAUGAUCUGGUAGAAGAGGCUCUUGCUGGAAACCCCACUAAGGGAGUGAAAGGGCCUAGUAUUUUGUCUUGCCUAGCUGAUUUUAAUAUCAUUGAUGGCUGUGUUCCAGAUUAUAUGCACAGUGUGCUGCUGGGUGUAGCAAGAAGCAUUACAACGUUGUGGUUUAAUUCUGAAAACAACCAUGGUAUAUCGGACGCUCAACAGAACAGAUUGAUGACAUUAGAACUUCUAUUAAACCCGCCUGUAAUGUUUCCCGUGUCCCCCGCUCAGUGAAAGUCACACGAGUGGAACAUGUGGUUGUUUUAUUACAGCAUACCAAUAUUGAAAGGGAUCUUACCUGAAAACUAUCUGAAGCACUGGUUUAAGUUGGUAAAGGGCUCUUCUACUUGGUGAGAAUAUAUCACCAAUGCACAUAUCAGAAUCUGAGUUGUUGCUAACAGUUUGUUCAGGAAAUGGAUACCCUUUAUGGGAUCAAUAAUGUUACUUUCAAUGUACAUUUGUGCCUUCAUCUGCCCAAUACUGUAAGGAACAGGGGUCCCCCCUGGGCACAGUCCGCUUUUGUGUUUGAGUCAUACAAGAUGUUAUGAUAAAGAGCAGCCAGGGAGUUUCUCUGGAGAUCAUAAAACUGUUUGGCUACAGGUUGCAUUUACAUCAUUUUCCAAAAAAACCUUGCAGGCAGCUUCUGAUGAUUACAAAUCUCUUAGUCUUUCAGUUGAGAAAAAAUGAUGGUGUUACAUCUUGUGAGAUGCAUGUACUGGUAAAAUAUAUUAUAACAUUGUUUUGCGCUAAAGCCGUGUCUCAAGUGUCCUGUAUUUGACCCUGAUGUGCAAAGAGCAGCAUGAUACAAAAUGUUUCUUUGCAGCUGUGUCCUGAGAAGGGAGGGCGGUCAACUCAAGCUCAUAGACGCUUCAAAACAAAGGACUUCUGUUCAUGGCCUUGGCCACUUAUCUAUAGCAAAUUGGCUUAUUUGAGGAAAUUGCACUUUGUUCUUCUGAGUCUGUAUCCUUAUGGUUGAAUGCACGAUAAGUGCUCGUAAGUCGCUUUGGAUAAAAGCGUCAGCUAAAUGACAUGUAAUGUAAUGUAAAUGUAAUUAAUAAGCGGGAUAGUAUUGGGAUAAAUGGGGCUGGUCAAUCUGGUAUAUGCGAGGUCAUUAAGUUGCCUGUAGCCUUCCCAUAAGUACUGAUCCCUGUCCAAAAUCACAAUAGCACUGCCCUUAUCGGCCGGUUUGAUAAUAAUGGUUUUCAUUAUUAAUCAAUUCAUCCACUACUGGUGAGCGGCACCUGGUGUGCUUUGAAAUGGUGGUCAAAAUGUUGAAUGUCAAACUGGAAAAGGGCAGUGAUCGCGUCGGGUAUCUGAUCUUGCAGGAGUCCAGACUUGACUUGUUCAUAAACGGCAGACGUUCAGAAUAGGCCACCAGUUUUAAUUUUCUGUGAUACUCCUGAUACUUCUGUAAAUCAAAGCGGCUCUGCUCUAGUAUUUUUUUAUUUAUUCCCUUAGUGGGAAUAAAAUUAAGGUUUUCAGAGCUUUAGUUUCUGCCUGUAUGCAGGAAUCAGAUGGACCUUGACGAGGUCAGAGUGUCCCAGUGCAGCACGAGGGACGGCGUGAUAAGCCCUGCUUACUGUGGUGUAACAGUGAUCCAGCGUGUUCUCCUCUCUGGUCUUAUUUAAUAAACUGUCUGUACUUAGGAAGUUCAUGGCUGAGAUUUCCUUUGUUAAAGUCCCGGAGGACAAUAACUAAGGAGUCCGGGUUGGUCCGCUCCACACGCCGUAUCUGGUCGGCGAAUGUCCGCUGUGCCUUGUGGACGUUGCCCGCCGGCGGCAUGUAAACACCGACCAGGAUGAAUGAAGCUCACGGAGGGAAUAAAAGGGUUUGCAGUUGAUGAAGAAAGUUUCCAGAUCAGGAGAACAGUGUUUUAGGAUUACCGUUAAAUUCGACCCGAAAAGGCGUCACGGCUGAGGACAAAAAGUCCGGCCAAUGUCAAUGCUGACAGCCGCCUGUACACGUCUGCUGGAUGUCACAAAAGCCAGGUCUGUGUCAGACACCGGUGUACGGCCGGGUGUCAGACUUUUGUGAAAUCGACCACAUCUCACCAGAAUCUGAUUUUGGAUAUCGCCUAUAAGUCUGGCUGUCAGUCUGUGCUAGGCUGCUGAAAAUCGGACCAGCUCCUCC